Larimichthys crocea (large yellow croaker) is the source of this 47-nucleotide non-coding RNA. The record is from Rfam. Lineage: Eukaryota; Metazoa; Chordata; Actinopteri; Sciaenidae.
CAAACGGCUCUUUUAAGAGCCAACCACAUCAUUCAUAAAGAGUGUAU